RNAcentral lists this ribosomal RNA (273 nucleotides) under uncultured bacterium. Its description in RNAcentral is "partial 16S ribosomal RNA". It matches the Rfam family "Bacterial small subunit ribosomal RNA", at positions 524 to 796 of the family's 1533-position model. The record is from RNAcentral.
GACAGAGGUGGCAAGCGUUGCUCGGAGUUACUGGGCUUAAAGGGCGCGUAGGCGGUCGUGCACGUCGGAGGUGAAAUCCCCGGGCCUAACCCGGGAACUGCCCCCGAUACGGCGCGGCUAGAGUGCGGGAGGGGAGAGUGGAACUCCUGGUGGAGCGGUGAAAUGCGUAGAUAUCAGGAGGAACGCCGGUGGCGAAAGCGACUCUCUGGUCCGCAACUGACGCUGAGGCGCGAAAGCCAGGGGAGCAAACGGGAUUAGAAACCCCCGUAGUCC